CCUACGGGGGGCAGCAGUGGGGAAUAUUGCACAAUGGGGGAAACCCUGAUGCAGCAACGCCGCGUGAAGGAAGACGGUUUUCGGAUUGUAAACUUCUGUUCUUAGUGAAGAAGAAUGACGGUAGCUAAGGAGCAAGCCACGGCUAACUACGUGCCAGCAGCCGCGGUAAUACGUAGGUGGCAAGCGUUGUCCGGAAUUACUGGGUGUAAAGGGCGUGUAGCCGGGCUGACAAGUCAGAUGUGAAAUCCGGGGGCUCAACCCCCGAACUGCAUUUGAAACUGUUGGUCUUGAGUAUCGGAGAGGCA
RNAcentral lists this ribosomal RNA (305 nucleotides) under uncultured bacterium. RNAcentral describes it as "bacterial SSU rRNA". It matches the Rfam family "Bacterial small subunit ribosomal RNA", at positions 338 to 659 of the family's 1533-position model. The record is from RNAcentral.